This 801-nucleotide ribosomal RNA is filed under the name uncultured bacterium. RNAcentral describes it as "bacterial SSU rRNA". It matches the Rfam family "Bacterial small subunit ribosomal RNA", at positions 62 to 892 of the family's 1533-position model. The record is from RNAcentral.
UCGAGCGAUUUACUUCGGUAAAGAGCGGCGGACGGGUGAGUAACGCGUGGGUAACCUGCCCUAUACACACGGAUAACAUACCGAAAGGUAUGCUAAUACGAGAUAACAUAAGUAAUUCGCAUGGAUUUCUUAUCAAAGCUUUUGCGGUAUAGGAUGGACCCGCGUCUGAUUAGCUAGUUGGUAAGGUAACGGCUUACCAAGGCGACGAUCAGUAGCCGACCUGAGAGGGUGAUCGGCCACAUUGGAACUGAGACACGGUCCAAACUCCUACGGGAGGCGGCAGUGGGGAAUAUUGCACAAUGGGCGAAAGCCUGAUGCAGCAACGCCGCGUGAGCGAUGAAGGCCUUCGGGUCGUAAAGCUCUGUCCUCAAGGAAGAUAAUGACGGUACUUGAGGAGGAAGCCCCGGCUAACUACGUGCCAGCAGCCGCGGUAAUACGUAGGGGGCUAGCGUUAUCCGGAAUUACUGGGCGUAAAGGGUGCGUAGGUGGUUUCUUAAGUCAGAGGUGAAAGGCUACGGCUCAACCGUAGUAAGCCUUUGAAACUGAGAAACUUGAGUGCAGGAGAGGAGAGUAGAAUUCCUAGUGUAGCGGUGAAAUGCGUAGAUAUUAGGAGGAAUACCAGUUGCGAAGGCGGCUCUCUGGACUGUAACUGACACUGAGGCACGAAAGCGUGGGGAGCAAACAGGAUUAGAUACCCUGGUAGUCCACGCCGUAAACGAUGAGUACUAGCUGUCGGAGGUUACCCCCUUCGGUGGCGCAGCUAACGCAUUAAGUACUCCGCCUGGGAAGUACGCUCGCAAG